Molecule: small RNA, 140 nt
Filed under: uncultured Blautia sp.
Lineage: Bacteria; Bacillati; Bacillota; Clostridia; Lachnospirales; Lachnospiraceae
Description: Clostridiales-1 RNA
Rfam family: Clostridiales-1 RNA
Source: RNAcentral
CAGGGUUCAAAGGUCAGGCUUUAUCUGCUUGCAGAAUAAAGCCUGAGGUUGGAACCCGCCUAAAACAUGAGCAUGGAAACCGAUAGGUUGGAAUGCGAAUGUUUUCUGAAUUGCGGGAGCCUGCAGGGCGGAGCAAUUCA